Buchnera aphidicola (Schlechtendalia chinensis) is the source of this 71-nucleotide transfer RNA. It matches the Rfam family "tRNA". Rfam says of the family: Transfer RNA (tRNA) molecules are approximately 80 nucleotides in length. Lineage: Bacteria; Pseudomonadati; Pseudomonadota; Gammaproteobacteria; Enterobacterales; Erwiniaceae. The record is from Rfam.
GGCGCGUUGACAGAUCGGUUAUGUAGCGGAUUGCAAAUCCGUAAAGCCCGGUUCAAUUCCGGGAUGCGCCU